RNAcentral lists this ribosomal RNA (253 nucleotides) under uncultured bacterium. RNAcentral describes it as "partial 16S ribosomal RNA". It matches the Rfam family "Bacterial small subunit ribosomal RNA", at positions 524 to 776 of the family's 1533-position model. The record is from RNAcentral.
UACGGAGGGAGCUAGCGUUGUUCGGAAUUACUGGGCGUAAAGCGCGCGUAGGCGGCCUUGCAAGUUAGAGGUGAAAGCCCGGGGCUCAACUCCGGAAUUGCCUUUAAGACUGCAUCGCUAGAAUUGUGGAGAGGUAAGUGGAAUUCCGAGUGUAGAGGUGAAAUUCGUAGAUAUUCGGAAGAACACCAGUGGCGAAGGCGACUUACUGGACACAUAUUGACGCUGAGGUGCGAAAGCGUGGGGAGCAAACAGG